GAUGAACGCUGGCGGCGUGCCUAAUACAUGCAAGUCGAGCGAACAGACGAGGAGCUUGCUCCUCUGACGUUAGCGGCGGACGGGUGAGUAACACGUGGAUAACCUACCUAUAAGACUGGGAUAACUUCGGGAAACCGGAGCUAAUACCGGAUAAUAUAUUGAACCGCAUGGUUCAAUAGUGAAAGACGGUUUUGCUGUCACUUAUAGAUGGAUCCGCGCCGCAUUAGCUAGUUGGUAAGGUAACGGCUUACCAAGGUGACGAUGCGUAGCCGACCUGAGAGGGUGAUCGGCCACACUGGAACUGAGACACGGUCCAGACUCCUACGGGAGGCAGCAGUAGGGAAUCUUCCGCAAUGGGCGAAAGCCUGACGGAGCAACGCCGCGUGAGUGAUGAAGGUCUUCGGAUCGUAAAACUCUGUUAUUAGGGAAGAACAAAUGUGUAAGUAACUAUGCACGUCUUGACGGUACCUAAUCAGAAAGCAACGGCUAACUACGUG
Molecule: ribosomal RNA, 497 nt
Filed under: uncultured bacterium
Lineage: Bacteria
Description: partial 16S ribosomal RNA
Rfam family: Bacterial small subunit ribosomal RNA
Source: RNAcentral